Molecule: small RNA, 137 nt
Filed under: Sexangularia sp. CB-2014
Lineage: Eukaryota; Tubulinea; Elardia; Arcellinida
Description: partial Betaproteobacteria transfer-messenger RNA
Source: RNAcentral
AUUCCCAGCUCGUCCACCACGUUGACAUUCGUCCGUGCACACGCGUGCGGCCGUUCUGCCUUCCACUUUGGGGGCAACGGUGUGCCGGACGGUCGCCAGUCGACCAACUUUAGCAACGUCACCACGACAGCCAGUGA